GGGUUGUGAGGUUAAGCGACUAAGCGUACACGGUGGAUGCCCUGGCAGUCAGAGGCGAUGAAGGACGUGCUAAUCUGCGAUAAGCGCCGGUAAGGUGAUAUGAACCGUUAUAACCGGCGAUUUCCGAAUGGGGAAACCCAGUGUGAUUCGUCACACUAUCAUUAACUGAAUCCAUAGGUUAAUGAGGCGAACCGGGGGAACUGAAACAUCUAAGUACCCCGAGGAAAAGAAAUCAACCGAGAUUCCCUCAGUAGCGGCGAGCGAACGGGGAGGAGCCCAGAGCCUGAAUCAGCAUGUGUGUUAGUGGAAGCGUCUGGAAAGGCGCGCGAUACAGGGUGACAGCCCCGUACACAAAAGCGCAUGUGCUGUGAGCUCGAUGAGUAGGGCGGGACACGUGGUAUCCUGUCUGAAUAUGGGGGGACCAUCCUCCAAGGCUAAAUACUCCUGACUGACCGAUAGUGAACCAGUACCGUGAGGGAAAGGCGAAAAGAACCCCGGCGAGGGGAGUGAAAAAGAACCUGAAACCGUGUACGUACAAGCAGUGGGAGCCCCACCACUAAGCCAGUGGUGAACUCCACAUACGCAUCCUUUGCUGAGAAUACGGUUAACGGAGCGAAAGCGACGUUCAACCUCAAAAGAAGCAGAGGGGGCUUAGUGGUGGGGUGACUGCGUACCUUUUGUAUAAUGGGUCAGCGACUUAUAUUCUGUAGCAAGGUUAACCGAAUAGGGGAGCCG
This 735-nucleotide ribosomal RNA is filed under the name Salmonella enterica subsp. enterica serovar Daytona. RNAcentral describes it as "partial 23S ribosomal RNA". It matches the Rfam family "Bacterial large subunit ribosomal RNA", at positions 1 to 668 of the family's 2925-position model. The record is from RNAcentral. Lineage: Bacteria; Pseudomonadati; Pseudomonadota; Gammaproteobacteria; Enterobacterales; Enterobacteriaceae.